Molecule: ribosomal RNA, 492 nt
Filed under: uncultured bacterium
Lineage: Bacteria
Description: partial 16S ribosomal RNA
Rfam family: Bacterial small subunit ribosomal RNA
Source: RNAcentral
AGUGAACGCUGGCGGUAGGCCUAACACAUGCAAGUCGAACGGCAGCACAGUAAGAGCUUGCUCUUACGGGUGGCGAGUGGCGGGCGGGUGAGGAAUACAUCGGAAUCUACUUUUUCGUGGGGGAUAACGUAGGGAAACUUACGCUAAUACCGCAUACGACCUACGGGUGAAAGCAGGGGAUCUUCGGACCUUGCGCGAUUGAAUGAGCCGAUGUCGGAUUAGCUAGUUGGCGGGGUAAAGGCCCACCAAGGCGACGAUCCGUAGCUGGUCUGAGAGGAUGAUCAGCCACACUGGAACUGAGACACGGUCCAGACUCCUACGGGAGGCAGCAGUGGGGAAUAUUGGACAAUGGGCGAAAGCCUGAUCCAGCCAUACCGCGUGGGUGAAGAAGGCCUUCGGGUUGUAAAGCCCUUUUGGUGGGGAAGAAAAGCAGCAGGUUAAUACCCCGCUGUUCUGACGGUACCCAAAGAAUAAGCACCGGCUAACUUCGUG